CCCUUAGAUGUUCUGGGCCGCACGCGCGCUACAAUGGUCUUCGCAAACGGAUGCAUUCUCGAAGGAGAAUGCCAAUCUUGGAAUCUAUGCCUUGGUCGGGACAGUUGCUUGCAAUCUUUCGACUCGAACCAGGAAUUCCUUGUAAUCGUGAUUCAUCACAUCACGAUGAAUACGUCCCUGCCCUUUGUACACACCGCCCGUCGCUCCUACCGAUCGAAGAGUUAGGUGAAUUGUUUUGAUCGAUAAGAUUUGACUAUGGUCAACUCUCGUUGUGAAAUUCUGUGAAUCUGACUGUUUAGAGGAAGGAAAAGUCGUAACA
RNAcentral lists this ribosomal RNA (319 nucleotides) under uncultured eukaryote. RNAcentral describes it as "partial 18S ribosomal RNA". It matches the Rfam family "Eukaryotic small subunit ribosomal RNA", at positions 1470 to 1796 of the family's 1831-position model. The record is from RNAcentral.